RNAcentral lists this transfer RNA (71 nucleotides) under Loxodonta africana (African savanna elephant). It matches the Rfam family "tRNA". From Rfam's summary of the family: Transfer RNA (tRNA) molecules are approximately 80 nucleotides in length. Their secondary structure includes four short double-helical elements and three loops (D, anti-codon, and T loops). Further hydrogen bonds mediate the characteristic L-shaped molecular structure. tRNAs have two regions of fundamental functional importance: the anti-codon, which is responsible for specific mRNA codon recognition, and the 3' end, to which the tRNAs corresponding amino acid is attached (by aminoacyl-tRNA synthetases). tRNAs cope with the degeneracy of the genetic code in two manners: having more than one tRNA (with a specific anti-codon) for a particular amino acid; and 'wobble' base-pairing, i.e. permitting non-standard base-pairing at the 3rd anti-codon position. Lineage: Eukaryota; Metazoa; Chordata; Mammalia; Proboscidea; Elephantidae. The record is from Rfam by way of RNAcentral.
GCAGUGGUGGGUCUGUGGUAGAAUUCUUGUCUUCCAUGUGGGAGACCCAGGUUCCACUCCUGGCCAAUGCA